This 409-nucleotide long non-coding RNA is filed under the name Brassica napus (rape). RNAcentral's name for it is "long non-coding RNA (BNAP_LNC004618)". Lineage: Eukaryota; Viridiplantae; Streptophyta; Magnoliopsida; Brassicales; Brassicaceae. The record is from RNAcentral.
CCCCACCACCACCGUUUCCUCCUCCAGACCCGUAACCACUACCGGACCCAUACCCUGAACCGUAGCCACUCCCUGAACCUGAUCCUUCUCCUCCUCCUCCACCACCACCACCACCACCACCACCGCCGCCACCUCCUCCUCCACCAUUGCCUCCCCCGGAUCCCGAACCAUAACCAGAACCUGAACCAGCGCCUCUACCGAGACCUCUUGGUGAUCUAGCUGCUAAACAUAUGUCAAAAAUAACCAAGAACAAGAAAGCACCUCCCAAGAACUUGAGGCUUCCCAUUUUCAUCGCUUCCUCUACGAACCAAACUAAUCAGUCAAUGAUAGAACGAUUCUUCUUUGUGAAAGUUUAAGAAUAAAUGAAGAUAGCUAGAGAAGCCGUUUAAUUGUGAGGUUGUAUCACUUG